Molecule: ribosomal RNA, 1410 nt
Filed under: bacterium EM-2014-66
Lineage: Bacteria
Description: contains 16S-23S intergenic spacer region
Source: RNAcentral
GGCUGGCUCCUAAAGGUUACCUCACCGACUUCGGGUGUUACAAACUCUCGUGGUGUGACGGGCGGUGUGUACAAGGCCCGGGAACGUAUUCACCGCGGCGUGCUGAUCCGCGAUUACUAGCGAUUCCGACUUCAUGUAGGCGAGUUGCAGCCUACAAUCCGAACUGAGACUGGCUUUAAGAGAUUAGCUUGCCGUCACCGACUUGCGACUCGUUGUACCAGCCAUUGUAGCACGUGUGUAGCCCAGGUCAUAAGGGGCAUGAUGAUUUGACGUCAUCCCCACCUUCCUCCGGUUUAUUACCGGCAGUCUCGCUAGAGUGCCCAACUCAAUGAUGGCAACUAACAAUAAGGGUUGCGCUCGUUGCGGGACUUAACCCAACAUCUCACGACACGAGCUGACGACAACCAUGCACCACCUGUCACCGAUGUUCCGAAGAAAAACUCUAUCUCUAGAGCGGGCAUCGGGAUGUCAAGACCUGGUAAGGUUCUUCGCGUUGCUUCGAAUUAAACCACAUGCUCCACCGCUUGUGCGGGCCCCCGUCAAUUCCUUUGAGUUUCAACCUUGCGGUCGUACUCCCCAGGCGGAGUGCUUAAUGCGUUAGCUGCGGCACUGAGUCCCGGAAAGGACCCAACACCUAGCACUCAUCGUUUACGGCGUGGACUACCAGGGUAUCUAAUCCUGUUUGCUCCCCACGCUUUCGAGCCUCAGCGUCAGUUACAGACCAGAGAGCCGCUUUCGCCACCGGUGUUCCUCCAUAUAUCUACGCAUUUCACCGCUACACAUGGAAUUCCACUCUCCCCUUCUGCACUCAAGUCUCACAGUUUCCAAAGCGUACAAUGGUUAAGCCACUGCCUUUAACUUCAGACUUAUGAAACCGCCUGCGCUCGCUUUACGCCCAAUAAAUCCGGACAACGCUCGGGACCUACGUAUUACCGCGGCUGCUGGCACGUAGUUAGCCGUCCCUUUCUGGUAAGAUACCGUCACGACAUGGAUUUUCCACUCCCACAUCCGUUCUUCUCUUACAACAGAGCUUUACGAUCCGAAAACCUUCUUCACUCACGCGGCGUUGCUCGGUCAGGGUUGCCCCCAUUGCCGAAGAUUCCCUACUGCUGCCUCCCGUAGGAGUCUGGGCCGUGUCUCAGUCCCAGUGUGGCCGAUCACCCUCUCAGGUCGGCUAUGUAUCGUCGCCUUGGUAAGCCGUUACCUUACCAACUAGCUAAUACAACGCAGGUCCAUCUGAUAGUGGAGCAGUUGCCCCUUUUAAACUAAUAACAUGUGUUAUUACCUCUUAUGCGGUAUUAGCUAUCGUUUCCAAUAGUUAUCCCCCGCUAUCAGGCAGGUUACCUACGCGUUACUCACCCGUUCGCAACUCAUCCAGAAGAAGCAAGCUCCCUCCUUCAGCGUUCUACU